ACUCAAAGGAAUUGACGGGGGCCCGCACAAGCGGUGGAACAUGUGGUUCAAUUCGACGCAACGCGAAGAACCUUACCUGGGCUCGAAGCGUGCCUGACCAGGUUGAGAAAUCAGCCCUUCCCGCAAGGGACAGGUACGGAGGUGCUGCAUGGCUGUCGUCAGCUCGUGCCGUGAGGUGUUGGGUUAAGUCCCGCAACGAGCGCAACCCUUAUCCUUAGUUGCCACCCGCAAGGGGGAACUCUAAGGAGACUGCUCCGGACAACGGAGAGGAAGGUGGGGAUGACGUCAAGUCAGCAUGGCCUUUAUGUCCAGGGCUACACACGUGUUACAAUGCGCGCCACAAAGUGUCGCGAACCCGCGAGGGGGAGCUAAUCGCAAAAAAGCGCGCUCAGUUCGGAUUGCAGUCUGCAACUUGACUGCAUGAAGCCGGAAUCGCUAGUAAUGGCGCAUCAGCACGGCGCCGUGAAUACGUUCCCGGGCCUUGUACACACCGCCCGU
Molecule: ribosomal RNA, 498 nt
Filed under: uncultured bacterium
Lineage: Bacteria
Description: partial 16S ribosomal RNA
Rfam family: Bacterial small subunit ribosomal RNA
Source: RNAcentral